Molecule: ribosomal RNA, 469 nt
Filed under: uncultured organism
Description: partial 16S ribosomal RNA
Rfam family: Bacterial small subunit ribosomal RNA
Source: RNAcentral
CACUCCUGCGGGAGGCAGCAGUGAGGAAUAUUGGACAAUGGGUGGAAGCCUGAUCCAGCCAUCCCGCGUGCAGGAAGACGGCCCUAUGGGUUGUAAACUGCUUUUAUCUGGGGAUAAACCUACUUACGUGUAAGUAGCUGAAGGUACCAGAAGAAUAAGCACCGGCUAACUCCGUGCCAGCAGCCGCGGUAAUACGGAGGGUGCAAGCGUUAUCCGGAUUUAUUGGGUUUAAAGGGUCCGUAGGCGGACUGAUAAGUCAGUGGUGAAAUCCGACAGCUUAACUGUCGAACUGCCAUUGAUACUGUUAGUCUUGAGUAAGGUUGAAGUGGCUGGAAUAAGUAGUGUAGCGGUGAAAUGCAUAGAUAUUACUUAGAACACCAAUUGCGAAGGCAGGUCACUAAGUCUUAACUGACGCUGAUGGACGAAAGCGUGGGGAGCGAACAGGAUUAGAAACCCCUGUAGUCCCAUG